GGCCACAGCCAUGUCACCCUGCAGCCCAAGAUCAGUUACUCGCUGAAGCUAAGCGGGGCUGAGCCUGGUCAGUAGCUGGAUGGGAGACCACUAGGGAACACUAGGGGUCCGUUCUUC
Molecule: ribosomal RNA, 117 nt
Organism: Danio rerio (zebrafish)
Lineage: Eukaryota; Metazoa; Chordata; Actinopteri; Cypriniformes; Danionidae
Source: Ensembl